CGAGAGCCUGACGGAGCAACGCCGCGUGCGGGAGGACGGCCUGUGGGUUGUAAACCGCUUUUCUCUGGGAAGAAGAUCUGACGGUACCUGAGGAAUCAGCAUCGGCUAACUCCGUGCCAGCAGCCGCGGUAAUACGGAGGAUGCAAGCGUUAUCCGGAAUUAUUGGGCGUAAAGCGUCCGCAGGCGGUCUUUCAAGUCUGCUGUUAAAGGCUGGGGCUUAACUCCGGACAGGCAGUGGAAACUGAUGAACUAGAGUACGGUAGGGGUAGAGGGAAUUCCCAGUGUAGCGGUGAAAUGCGUAGAUAUUGGGAAGAACACCAGUGGCGAAGGCGCUCUACUGGGCCGUAACUGACGCUGAGGGACGAAAGCUAGGGGAGCG
RNAcentral lists this ribosomal RNA (379 nucleotides) under uncultured cyanobacterium. RNAcentral's name for it is "bacterial SSU rRNA". It matches the Rfam family "Bacterial small subunit ribosomal RNA", at positions 376 to 770 of the family's 1533-position model. Lineage: Bacteria; Bacillati; Cyanobacteriota. The record is from RNAcentral.